CCUACGGGAGGCAGCAGUAAGGAAUAUUGGUCAAUGGACGCAAGUCUGAACCAGCCAUGCCGCGUGAAGGAUUAAGGCCCUCUGGGUUGUAAACUUCUUUUAUAGGGGACGAAAAAAGGGCAUUCUUGCUCACUUGACGGUACCCUAGGAAUAAGCACCGGCUAACUCCGUGCCAGCAGCCGCGGUAAUACGGAGGGUGCAAGCGUUAUCCGGAUUUACUGGGUUUAAAGGGUGCGUAGGUGGGUUGGUAAGUCAGUGGUGAAAUCUUCGAGCUUAACUCGGAAACUGCCAUUGAUACUAUCAAUCUUGAAUCAUCUAGAGGUAAGCGGAAUAUGUCAUGUAGCGGUGAAAUACUUAGAUAUGACAUAGAACACCAAUUGCGAAGGCAGCUUACUAUGGAUGCAUUGACACUGAGGCACGAAAGCGUGGGGAUCAAACAGGAUUAGAUACCCUGGUAGUCCACGCCCUAAACGAUGGAUACUCGACAUUUGUGAUAUACAAUAAGUGUCUGAGNGAAGANAUAUAUACCACCUAGGAGUACGACCGCGAGUAGUAACGACAAGUAGAGUUAGACGCGUGAGACGUAGACCGACGGACGACGACGAGGGGAGGAGG
Molecule: ribosomal RNA, 615 nt
Filed under: uncultured bacterium
Lineage: Bacteria
Description: bacterial SSU rRNA
Rfam family: Bacterial small subunit ribosomal RNA (bases 1-532)
Source: RNAcentral